Molecule: ribosomal RNA, 497 nt
Filed under: uncultured bacterium
Lineage: Bacteria
Description: partial 16S ribosomal RNA
Rfam family: Bacterial small subunit ribosomal RNA
Source: RNAcentral
GAUGAACGCUGGCGGCGUGCCUAAUACAUGCAAGUCGAGCGAACGGACGAGAAGCUUGCUCUUCUGAUGUUAGCGGCGGACGGGUGAGUAACACGUGGAUAACCUACCUAUAAGACUGGGAUAACUUCGGGAAACCGGAGCUAAUACUGGAUAAUAUUUUGAACCGCAUGGUUCAAAAGUGAAAGACGGUUUUGCUGUCACUUAUAGCUGGAUCCGCGUUGCAUUAGCUAGUUGGUAAGGUAACGGCUUACCAAGGCAACGAUGCGUAGCCGACCUGAGAGGAUGAUCAGCCACACUGGAACUGAGACACGGUCCAGACUCCUACGGGAGGCAGCAGUAGGGAAUCUUCCGCAAUGGGCGAAAGCCUGACGGAGCAACGCCGCGUGAGUGAUGAAGGUCUUCGGAUCGUAAAACUCUGUUAUUAGGGAAGAACAGAUGUGUAAGUAACUGUGCACAUCUUGACGGUACCUAAUCAGAAAGCCACGGCUAACUACGUG